AGUGGUUAAGCACUUGGCUGCUAACCAAAAAAUUGGUAGUUCGAAUCCACCAACCGCUC
Molecule: transfer RNA, 59 nt
Filed under: Loxodonta africana (African savanna elephant)
Lineage: Eukaryota; Metazoa; Chordata; Mammalia; Proboscidea; Elephantidae
Rfam family: tRNA
About the family: Transfer RNA (tRNA) molecules are approximately 80 nucleotides in length. Their secondary structure includes four short double-helical elements and three loops (D, anti-codon, and T loops).
Source: Rfam by way of RNAcentral